This 77-nucleotide transfer RNA is filed under the name Patescibacteria group bacterium. RNAcentral's name for it is "tRNA-His". It matches the Rfam family "tRNA". Rfam says of the family: Transfer RNA (tRNA) molecules are approximately 80 nucleotides in length. Their secondary structure includes four short double-helical elements and three loops (D, anti-codon, and T loops). The record is from RNAcentral.
GCGGCUGUAGCUCAGCUGGUUAGAGCAUCGGGUUGUGGUUCCGAGGGCCGCGGGUUCGAAUCCCGUCAGCCGCCCCA